RNAcentral lists this ribosomal RNA (548 nucleotides) under uncultured bacterium. RNAcentral's name for it is "bacterial SSU rRNA". It matches the Rfam family "Bacterial small subunit ribosomal RNA", at positions 355 to 895 of the family's 1533-position model. The record is from RNAcentral.
UAGGGAAUCUUCGGCAAUGGACGAAAGUCUGACCGAGCAACGCCGCGUGAGUGAAGAAGGUUUUCGGAUCGUAAAGCUCUGUUGUAAGAGAAGAACGGGUGUGAGAGUGGAAAGUUCACACUGUGACGGUAUCUUACCAGAAAGGGACGGCUAACUACGUGCCAGCAGCCGCGGUAAUACGUAGGUCCCGAGCGUUGUCCGGAUUUAUUGGGCGUAAAGCGAGCGCAGGCGGUUAGAUAAGUCUGAAGUUAAAGGCUGUGGCUUAACCAUAGUACGCUUUGGAAACUGUUUAACUUGAGUGCAGAAGGGGAGAGUGGAAUUCCAUGUGUAGCGGUGAAAUGCGUAGAUAUAUGGAGGAACACCGGUGGCGAAAGCGGCUCUCUGGUCUGUAACUGACGCUGAGGCUCGAAAGCGUGGGGAGCGAACAGGAUUAGAUACCCUGGUAGUCCACGCCGUAACGAUGAGUGCUAGGUGUUAGGCCCUUUCCGGGGCUUAGUGCCGCAGCUAACGCAUCAAGCACUCCGCCUGGGGAGUACGACCGCAAGGUU